This 122-nucleotide transfer RNA is filed under the name Crocodylus siamensis (Siamese crocodile). RNAcentral describes it as "tRNA-Thr". The stretch from base 51 to 122 matches the Rfam family "tRNA". Rfam says of the family: Transfer RNA (tRNA) molecules are approximately 80 nucleotides in length. Their secondary structure includes four short double-helical elements and three loops (D, anti-codon, and T loops). Further hydrogen bonds mediate the characteristic L-shaped molecular structure. tRNAs have two regions of fundamental functional importance: the anti-codon, which is responsible for specific mRNA codon recognition, and the 3' end, to which the tRNAs corresponding amino acid is attached (by aminoacyl-tRNA synthetases). tRNAs cope with the degeneracy of the genetic code in two manners: having more than one tRNA (with a specific anti-codon) for a particular amino acid; and 'wobble' base-pairing, i.e. permitting non-standard base-pairing at the 3rd anti-codon position. Lineage: Eukaryota; Metazoa; Chordata; Crocodylia; Crocodylidae. The record is from RNAcentral.
CAUGAAUAAUCCCCAUCAUACCAACAUGAGGGGGUAGAAUAAACCCACACACUCUUGUAGCUCAACCCCAAAGCGCUGGCCUUGUAAGACAGAGAUGGAAUACACACACCUUCCCAAGAGUA